RNAcentral lists this transfer RNA (62 nucleotides) under Tettigades major. Its description in RNAcentral is "tRNA-Gly". The record is from RNAcentral. Lineage: Eukaryota; Metazoa; Arthropoda; Insecta; Hemiptera; Cicadidae.
AUUUUAUUAGUAUAAAAGUAUAUCUAACUUCCAAUUAGAAGGUUUGCCUAUCAAAUAAAAUA